AGAGUUUGAUCCUGGCUCAGGACGAACGCUGGCGGCGUGCCUAAUACAUGCAAGUCGAACGAAACUUUCUUACACCGAAUGCUUGCAUUCACCGUAAGAAGUUGAGUGGCGGACGGGUGAGUAACACGUGGGUAACCUGCCUAAAAGAAGGGGAUAACACUUGGAAACAGGUGCUAAUACCGUAUAUCUCUAAGGAUCGCAUGAUCCUUAGAUGAAAGAUGGUUCUGCUAUCGCUUUUAGAUGGACCCGCGGCGUAUUAACUAGUUGGUGGGGUAACGGCCUACCAAGGUGAUGAUACGUAGCCGAACUGAGAGGUUGAUCGGCCACAUUGGGACUGAGACACGGUCCAAACUCCUACGGGAGGCAGCAGUGGGGAAUAUUGCACAAUGGGCGAAAGCCUGAUGCAGCAACGCCGCGUGAGCGAUGAAGGCCUUCGGGUCGUAAAGCUCUGUCCUCAAGGAAGAUAAUGACGGUACUUGAGGAGGAAGCCCCGGCUAACUACGUGCCAGCAGCCGCGGUAAUACGUAGGGGGCUAGCGUUAUCCGCGG
This 548-nucleotide ribosomal RNA is filed under the name uncultured bacterium. RNAcentral describes it as "bacterial SSU rRNA". It matches the Rfam family "Bacterial small subunit ribosomal RNA", at positions 9 to 546 of the family's 1533-position model. The record is from RNAcentral.